RNAcentral lists this ribosomal RNA (507 nucleotides) under Cladosporium xanthochromaticum. Its description in RNAcentral is "eukaryotic LSU rRNA". The stretch from base 166 to 319 matches the Rfam family "5.8S ribosomal RNA". Lineage: Eukaryota; Fungi; Ascomycota; Dothideomycetes; Cladosporiales; Cladosporiaceae. The record is from RNAcentral.
GGGAUCAUUACAAGUGACCCCGGUUUACCACCGGGAUGUUCAUAACCCUUUGUUGUCCGACUCUGUUGCCUCCGGGGCGACCCUGCCUUCGGGCGGGGGCUCCGGGUGGACACUUCAAACUCUUGCGUAACUUUGCAGUCUGAGUAAACUUAAUUAAUAAAUUAAAACUUUUAACAACGGAUCUCUUGGUUCUGGCAUCGAUGAAGAACGCAGCGAAAUGCGAUAAGUAAUGUGAAUUGCAGAAUUCAGUGAAUCAUCGAAUCUUUGAACGCACAUUGCGCCCCCUGGUAUUCCGGGGGGCAUGCCUGUUCGAGCGUCAUUUCACCACUCAAGCCUCGCUUGGUAUUGGGCAACGCGGUCCGCCGCGUGCCUCAAAUCGACCGGCUGGGUCUUCUGUCCCCUAAGCGUUGUGGAAACUAUUCGCUAAAGGGUGCUCGGGAGGCUACGCCGUAAAACAACCCCAUUUCUAAGGUUGACCUCGGAUCAGGUAGGGAUACCCGCUGAACU